Molecule: ribosomal RNA, 401 nt
Filed under: Klebsiella pneumoniae
Lineage: Bacteria; Pseudomonadati; Pseudomonadota; Gammaproteobacteria; Enterobacterales; Enterobacteriaceae
Description: partial 23S ribosomal RNA
Rfam family: Bacterial large subunit ribosomal RNA
Source: RNAcentral
GUUUGGUUAAGUUAGAAAGGGCGCACGGUGGAUGCCUUGACACUAGGAGUCGAUGAAGGACGGGACUAACGCCGAUAUGCUUCGGGGAGCUGUAAGUAAGCUUUGAUCCGAAGAUUUCCGAAUGGGGAAACCCACCAUACGUAAUGGUAUGGUAUCCUUAUCUGAAUACAUAGGGUAAGGAAGACAGACCCAGGGAACUGAAACAUCUAAGUACCUGGAGGAAGAGAAAGCAAAUGCGAUUUCCUGAGUAGCGGCGAGCGAAACGGAACAUAGCCCAAACCAAGAGGCUUGCCUCUUGGGGUUGUAGGACAUUCUAUACGGAGUUACAAAGGAAUGAGGUAGACGAAGCGACCUGGAAAGGUCCGUCGUAGAGGGUAACAACCCCGUAGUCGAAACUUCGU